UACACAGGCCCAGACUCUUACCACACAGUA
This 30-nucleotide non-coding RNA is filed under the name Homo sapiens (human). The record is from RNAcentral. Lineage: Eukaryota; Metazoa; Chordata; Mammalia; Primates; Hominidae.